AUGGAUGACCUGCCUUUGUGCCAUUACACUGCCGACAGCCUCUCUGCUCCUCCUGCAUUAACUGUGCCCAUGCUGCAUGAUGGCGGGUCUAUGGAAGCAGCUGCUCAGAAAGGAAGACGGAUGGAUUCAGAGGAGUGGAGUCAGUGGCAGAGUGAGUUCAGAGGGCAGAUCAGGGCUCUGCGACACUGGCUGAAGACCAUGGAGAAGAGACUCCCUCCACCGGAUCCUGCUGUGAGUCUCUCAUACACUCCAGCCCAAACAUCUGAGGACACUUCUCAAACUGCUAUCAAAUUUAUUUAUUUAUUUAAAAAACAUUUAUUUGUUCUUAUUUGAGAAUGUCCCCAGUAAACAUCACAUGCUUGAGUCACACAAUCAAAGUCACCCAUUUACUUACAUUUAAUUAGUAACCAAUAAAUAAUAAUAAAAAAACUAAAAUAGUUCUUAU
Molecule: long non-coding RNA, 445 nt
Organism: Cyprinus carpio (common carp)
Lineage: Eukaryota; Metazoa; Chordata; Actinopteri; Cypriniformes; Cyprinidae
Source: Ensembl